UUCCUGCUCCACCAAAUCCAGUGGGACUUUGAACACUGAUAUCUGUAAGAGACAUGUCAACCUGUGAAUUACUUAAGGAAGAAGGACAUCCAACAUGAUUUUAUGCAUCAGCAGGUUGUCCCACGUGAUGCCAGGCCUGAAAUAAAAAAAGAUUGUCCAAGGAAUAUUUGGUAAAAUCAGUCCUAGGACAAAAUGGGAAGAAUCAAAAUUCUGAGUGGAGGUCAGUGUGUUUGUCAGGGAGCUGCAAGAGAGUUGAGCUGAGAGCCAAUUGUGACAACACUGCCAGCAGAGCAGGGGCCUCACCAGCAUGGGAGCUGUUCCUGUAUCUCCUGAGCAAUAAGGGCAGGGCAGGGCCUGAGCAGUGAUCACAGCAGCAGGAUGGCUAAGCAGGGACAUGGAGACAGGGAUGAGCUGAAGCUAAGCUGGGAUGUCAGCUGGUGGUGGUCAGGAUCAGGAAUGGGAAGAUAUAGAAUUCAGUUUAUUAACUAGGAAUUAAUUAAGCCAUGUGGUGAAUAGUGGCUUCACAUCAGAUAUGGAUCCUCUCUGUCCAGAAUACCUGUGUAUGCUAAUCCUUUAACCAUGGAGCUGGAGGCAAUCUGUUAGCCUUCUAGCUCUAUUGGCCAAGAUAUGGAAGCUAAAGAUUACAUCUAGAAGCAACUCAAAUGAUUUACAUCUUCAUGAAUUAAA
Long non-coding RNA from Pseudopipra pipra, 687 nucleotides. RefSeq lists it as uncharacterized. The transcript is spliced from 4 exons. The record is from RefSeq and is a predicted model, not a curated record. Lineage: Eukaryota; Metazoa; Chordata; Aves; Passeriformes; Pipridae.